CCAGAGUCUGGUUUGGUUCAGAAAAUGCCUUUUUUUGUGGGGUAUCCAAUACCUACUGCUCCUCUAGCCCUACAGAGCUCUCCCAUAUUGCUGCCAUCCUGGGACCUCAUUAUCCACCUGUGGCUGAAAGCAGCGCUGCACCAAGGCAGAUAACAAUCUAAUACAAUAGAUUUCAGAGUCCACAUUCUCAAAAAAAAGGGCAGUGAGUGCACAGACAGCUCCAUCAGCAGAGUCAUUACAGUGAGGUACCUAACUGAUUCUGGGAAACUGUAUUCAAAUAUUUAAACAAGACUCUUACUAUCCAUAAUGACUGCAAAAAUCCCUACAAUGAAGCACUACCCAUUUGUAAUUGCUGAUUAUAAGCCAGGGUUUUCAACGGAGGCUUUUUUCUUAUUUGCCUUAUUAUUACAAAAUUGGGCAGAGAUCAUUAAUAUAAUGCACACACACACAAAAAAUUAUAUCUUGUACAGAGCAAUCUGUACUUUCCUUCUUUCUUUCUAGGCUUAUUGGAGACAACGCCAAGCAAUUUCAUGUUAAGGCGGAGUGAGGAGUAAUUGAAUACAUUUUCUCUCAUGUUGUAUUUCGUUUUAUAUAGCAAAAAUACAAAGAACGGAUUUUCAUUGAACAAAAAACAAGCAUCACUUCAUUAACAUCUUAAAACCAUCACCAGCCAUAGAGGCGCAUGUGCAUCUGCCCAAAUUCUCUGAUUUAUUUUCCUCCUCAUAGCUCAGACACCCACAUAGUUAAGAAAUAGCUUGGAAAACAGAUAUGCUUGCAAAACACCUCCUCUCUCAGGACAGAGAGCUGUUUACAUAAUAGCAAUGUUUAUCCAACAAAGUUCUGUGGCACUUCAGUACGACCUGUGGUGCAUGAGUGACUGCAUCCUGCCAUCUACCUGCAGGAUGGGUGAAGGCAGGGCCGUGGUCCUGGUGCUGCAGGAACCCACUUGCACUCACACCUUUAGACGCUGGGUGUCACCUCGUAAGUACCCUCAGUGCUUCCUGAUGGGCUUGACAGGCAGCCUGCAGGAGCAGCGGGGAGGUGUGUUUAGGGUUUUUACAUUGGCUUGCUCCCAGCCCUGGCCUAACCAGUCUCCACGUUCUCUCAGGGAGGCCCGUGGAGUGGAAGGCUACAGCAGGCACUGCAGGUUCCCUAAAUGCUCUCUUCCCCGGACAAAACGAAUUCUUAUUGACAACAAGUGGGCUCCAGGGUUGAAACUGGCAGCCUGCAUACUCUUCCUGUUGCUCAACAGUAUCUGCAGGGCAGAUGUGUUUGCAUACAACAAUACCAGAACAUAUUUUCAGUGAGUGUUCAUGAGCUGUCUGCUGGAUGGUAGCCCAGUGUGCCUUCAGGUUCAGCUCAAAUAAAGGAAAGAGAUGGGGUGCUUCAGAAACAUCCACUGCAAAUGCACGUAUGGCCAAAGCCUCAGCACAAGAAAUAGGAAGAAACACAGGAGUUGCAUCCUAAUCAAUGUGCUUUCAUUGGGAGCCUUCAGCACCAGUCUUACCUGUUCCCUACCUGCUUAUUUGAUGGCACUCACAUGGCUGGAGAGCCAAACCCUUCAGCCCAAAGAAGGUCUCUGGAGCUUGGUCCAAGUCUGACAGCACAGCCAGGUCAUCCUUCCACGAAAGCAGGGAAGCACGGGCACCGCUUCCCUCCAAACCACCAGACAAAGCAGCUCGUGUGUGGGAGAGGAAAAAUUCUGCUUUCCAGAGCCCCAGUGACUUGUUUUUCCAUCCUGACGGCUCGAGAAGUGAGGAUCUGUGCCUGAAAAUCUGAGAGAAAGUAGGCUGUAUUUGUGUGUGGAUGAACAGCAAACAGACACCUUCCCCCUGUACCAGCCCCCCGGAUGGCACUGAGUGUCUUCAGUAGAGAACGUGAUGACCUGCAAGGGAGCCUCAGAAGGCCAAACGAGAUGUGUGGUAAAGAAGAAAACACGUUUAAUAAAACCUGUUGCAAAGAGAAGAAAUGAGGAGGAGGAAGGCAAUGAGAAGAAGGCAAUCUGUGACCAAGAAAUGACAGAAGCCUUCUGCUUAUAAUGCUAACUUUUGAAUAAAAGUAAGAGUAAUUGUGUUAAAAGUCAGUCACUUGUUCCUCAAGUAUCUACUAUAUUUUUUCAACUUCUGGUUUAAAAUAUUUACAGCCAUUUUAACGUAGAUUGACACCUAAAUCAGCCACUCAUGUUCAACUCAGUGGAGUCUGCACUCCAGAAGCCUUGGUCCAUACAGUUAACACAGGUUUCUUACAUGGUCUGUGGCAAAAGGUAGACCCGUGUCUGCAAGUGGUCAGGGACAUCUAAGCUAAAGGAUCAUUCCUCUCUACCGACCUUAUAAAGAAAAAAUGCUGAAAUUCAAUACCUGCUUUCUCUUGACAUCCAAGCUGAGUCUUCUGUAGAAAGACACUAGUGGAGACUCUUCGUACUGAGCAGUAACAGUAGUUUCCUGGUAGAGUAUCUGUCAAGGAAUAGAAGAUCCUCUUUGGCCAUGUUUCCCACAGCCUCAUUGCGUGACCUAGUUAGGCUACAUUACUUCAUCACUGCGCAAAGUAGAAAAGGACCAGAAUUACCCAUCCCAGCUUGUGCUCUACUACCUGCUAGGGCAGAGUCAAGAUCCCAUGUGUACUCAGCCAGAAGUCUUCACCUUCUGCCUAGCUGCCCAGUGUCAACAGGAGGGAAGAGCAUGAUGAUACCAUGAGCUUCUCACUUGGACUGAGAAAUCUUCUGUGGAGGUAGAGUUUAAGCAUCUGGACUUACCAAAGGCGGGUCUCUCCAGUCCUUGUCCAGAGAAAGUAAAAGAAGUGCGCUUUUAAGGUGCAGCCACUGCCCUGAAUUUCACAGAACUUUCAUCUGACCAAGAGAAAAUAAGUUGACUUCAGCUAAAAUUAGACUUGAGGUUGCCACCUCUGAACUUCAGGAAGAAUUUAAGAGAACUGGACCACUUGCAUCAUUAUGCCAAUAAAAUGAUACUUCUCUCUCUUUCAGCCUCUUUGUUGAGGUAUGUUGAUGAUUAGCCACCUAUGACCAGGGCAAUAUCUGCCAGGGAUUUUUACACGUUUAAGUUUCUUCACAGCCUAUAUUCUCAUUGUAGGCCAGGAGAAGCCACUGUGUUAAUGAUGGCCCUCAUAAGAAUGAAUUAUGGCCCGAGGCCAGAUUCAACAGUUUCCCAGAGACAGGAUGGCCGUUAACUGGGCAGUAGCCUGGGGUUUAUGUUUCACUACAAACCUUCUCUGUGCACAUCAGCAAGAUGUUUGAGCCAAAUCAAAGGAGUUGAGCUUCUCUGUUCUCACACUGCCAUUGGUAAAAUGACAGUCAUGACUCUUCUCCACUUCAGAGGGAUGUCGCAAGGAUAUUACAUGAAAAAAAUAUGAACAUGAGUAUUUAGAUGAACAUCAGAAAGUAUAAAACUCUCCCUGCUCCCAGGCUAGCAUACCCUUUCAUCUUUUUGGGGCCAAUGGUUUGAAGUAAAAGUUGCUGUUAACAUGUAUUUGCCUUAGCAAGGUGUUAAAGUCAUUUCUUUUUAAAUGGUGAUUCCUACACACAACCUGUUCCCAAGUUCCAGGUCCGGGUGCAAGUUCUAUUCCUGUGACUUGCAAAGCCACCGGGGACUCACAAGUGGCUCUGGCGUUGCAAAUCCACUCUUCCUGGAAAGAUUUCCUGUUCUUAUCAGGGAAGGAAACCUCAUUUAAAUUUGAAUAUUCACUUCCAAUGGUACAGAUUGUUAAAAGAUUGUUCUGCCAACAGAAUAACACAAAACUAGCAAUGUGACACUGUUAUACGAGUAAAAAUGAAGGAUGAACCAUCAAUCUGGAUUUUUAAAUGAUCUCUGUUAGAAUCUGUCACUGGUAAUAAAUGAUUGAUCCAUUUCCUAAAUAUAUAACUUUUAGCUUUUUCCUCCUCUGUUUUCAAUUUGCCUUUACUUCUCAGUCCAUCUUUUUCAGUACAAACAUGUUUUCCCCCAACACUUGUAGGACUUUUCUUUUGUGUAGGGUCUUAGUCAUCUCUGCCAGCGCUGUGCUUCCCUCCAAUGAUGAAGAAAGCAGCCCGCUCCAUGAUACUGUUGUAUGUAUGCAUUAAGUGAAAUCAGGCUGCUUUUAUAACCUAUUUCUAAAACACUCAGGGUAAUUUACUGUUGUUUUUGCAAAAUUGUGAAUAACAGAGAAUAACAAUAUUUUGAACAAAUGACGAUAUUCUUCGUCGACGGAGAAUAAACAGGCUUGUUAGGGUGUAAUUGUUGUGCAUGAGUUUCUGGUUAGUUGUUGCUAUUUCACAGGGAAAUAGGACGCACUUGAAAGCUUCCGCAUCACUCCAGCUCCAAUGCUGGUACAGAAGAUGAAUAUUUUCAAGGAGAGGUAGAAAUGUCGAUUCCACUAACAAAUUUACAGUGCAAUAUAGCGAAAGAAUAAAACACGGUUUAUGGGUUGCUUUCUCCAGCUUAUUUUUAUCUCACAGAAUAAUACUUUAAAAGCACCCUAAGAAAAUGUUUCUCUUCCUGCUGAACUAUCUUUAUUUUUAGAUUGGAUACUUACCCUAUACAACUAUUUAGUCUGAUCCAGCUGAUGCAAAAGGUUGCUCUUUCAGUGUACAGCCUGCAUUGUCCCUGCUUAAACUGAAGAUGUGGGUGCAUGCUUUAUGAACCAGCCAUCUAAACUUGAAAGUGUGCUGGAGGAGCAGAGCAAAGAAAUUAAAUCUUUUAAAGUCCUCAUCACAUUGGGUUAAUUUAGCAGGCCGUGCUUCUGUUCUGUUUGCAUGACCACAGAGUGCUUGAUUGACUUUGACAUUUGAGUGAAAUGGAUGGAUAUUAAUGAAAGGAUGCAGAUAAGGAGCUGGAGAGAUAGAUACCAGGAUCAGACUGUUAAUGCUUUUACAUUCAAACUUUAUACAUGUGUAUAUAUAAAAAAAUGCUUUUGCAAACACCAUAAUGUUCAUUACACUAUUCAGAAAAGGAGGUUUACUGUGACAAUCUGCUGAAAACUGCUUCUGUGAUGAUAACAGGAAAUCAGUCACUUAUUUUGCUGGAUUGUUCAGAAAACUGACAGACAGGCUCCGACUGAAUCUAAGCAGCCUGCACCUGGUCAGAAAACCGUGCAAUGUGACAACAGCCUCUGUGUUGCUAAUAAUUAUGCACCAAUUUAAUCAUCAACCUCAUGCUUAGCAAAAUGAAAGGAUAAAACUGGGUAAAUGAUGCAGCUAUAGGUAUUUAAAUCAUGCGGCAUUUUUUGGUAUGGUGAUGAGUGGCUCUUUUUUCUAAUUCUAGAUGAUGCUGACAGUAUUUAAAAUUGAGGUUAGAAAUUACAGCAAGAAUCUGACUUGUGAUAUGUGUCAUAAGAUGUGGCAUUUUGCUCUGAAUCGAAUAUAGAUUGUUGGUCGCUUUAAUCAAUAGCUCCGAAAGACCACAACGCAAAUAAGAUUAAAACUACUCAUUCCUUCGUAUGCAUAAUGGCCGCUUCUUUGAUUCCCAUUUAGCAUUUAAAUUAGUUCAGCCACAAAGCACAGAGUACAGAUGCAAGUUUGAUUAUAUCAUUAGCGAAGUUCUCCUGGAUCAAUUUAAAACUAUUACACUUCAGAAAGAAUUAAGACGGAGCUCUACGGGAAGAUAUUUCCAGGCACAGAUCUUGUCUAUUGUCAUGUAUGUGAGUGCUUUGGUUUUUUUUUUUCCUCCUACAAGGAAGACGCACUAUUAAUUCUUUCAAAAGUCUUUACCAUGCUAUUCCACCACAUAGAAUCCAUGUGGCCAUCUUUGUGACCAUCGUGCCUCAUACCUGACAGUCUUUUGGCUCUGGUUUUCACUCCGAUAAGAAGAAACUUCACUUGAGUACA
Molecule: long non-coding RNA, 5815 nt
Filed under: Gallus gallus (chicken)
Lineage: Eukaryota; Metazoa; Chordata; Aves; Galliformes; Phasianidae
Description: lncRNA (ENSGALG00010002830.1)
Source: RNAcentral